GCAAACUUGGUCAUUUAGAGGAAGUAAAAGUCGUAACAAGGUUUCCGUAGGUGAACCUGCGGAAGGAUCAUCACAGAGUGAUCGUGUGGGGGGCUGUGUAAUGCAGUGUGCCUCUACACCAAUCUUGUGUGAACUGUGUUCUGUGGUGUGUGUGUUGGUGGUGCCGUGGUGGAAUAUACACCCCACGCCCACCAACAUCACAAUCAAUCUCUCUCUUUCAACCUUUGUCUAACAUGCACCCACAAUUCAAAACAACUUUUAACAAUGGAUCUCUUGGCUCUCGCAUCGAUGAAGAACGCAGC
This 302-nucleotide unclassified non-coding RNA is filed under the name uncultured fungus. RNAcentral's name for it is "partial contains small subunit ribosomal RNA, internal transcribed spacer 1, and 5.8S ribosomal RNA". The stretch from base 1 to 73 matches the Rfam family "Eukaryotic small subunit ribosomal RNA", at positions 1759 to 1831 of the family's 1831-position model. Lineage: Eukaryota; Fungi. The record is from RNAcentral.